AUAUAUAUAUAUAUAUAUAGGGGUCUCGAACCUUCUAUCUUUUUCCCCAAGAAACCCCCUAAAAUUCCAAAAAAAAUAAUAAUCCAAAAGCCUUCAAAAAUACGAAAAUUCUCCCAAAAAAACCAAAGCCCACUGAUUUUAUUUUGUGAGCGAUUUUGGGACAAAUGGAAGUCAAAUAUUGAUUCAUAAUAAAUCCACGGCCCCCAUUGAUCCAAAAAUCAUUCUCAAGGUCGCAUGAAGUGGGAAGAGAACAUUUUUGUUGUCAGAGAUCGUUGUAGAUUUGGGUGACAUGGGAGGAAUAUUGAGGGGGUGGGGUGGGGGGACCAUGAGCAUGUGAGCAGGAUUUUCCGGCGAGGCUGGGGUGGGGGAACAUUGACAGAAGGUGGAGAGAGAGGGCACCAUUUGGUUAGAUCUUUUUAGGGUUUUGAGAGUCAUAAUACGGUAUUUAUAUGGGGUGUUGGAG
Molecule: long non-coding RNA, 463 nt
Filed under: Nicotiana benthamiana
Lineage: Eukaryota; Viridiplantae; Streptophyta; Magnoliopsida; Solanales; Solanaceae
Description: long non-coding RNA (NBEN_LNC010184)
Source: RNAcentral